Long non-coding RNA from Microtus oregoni (creeping vole), 515 nucleotides. RefSeq lists it as uncharacterized. NCBI's taxonomy places the organism in Eukaryota, Metazoa, Chordata, Mammalia, Rodentia, Cricetidae. The record is from RefSeq and is a predicted model, not a curated record. The transcript has 3 exons.
GGGAGCCAAGGGCUCCCUGGUUCAAAGGGCCGCAGCCCUAGGGGAUGCCCUCCUCGUGUGCCCUGGGGUGCAGAAGCAGACUGCAGGGCGGUGGGACCAGCCUGGGCCACGGGUGGAUGAAUUGUCACCAGGACUUCAGGCUCCAGAGGAGGAGAACUGGAUGAGAUGGAUGGGAUGCCUGAAAGACUGGAAAAUGAGGGCUCUGACUUGGAGUUGACCUGGGAGCUGGGGCAAGAGAUGUCCAUCAUGACGCAAGAAAACAUGCACUCGGGUAACUAAUGACAAGAACUUUAGAAGGACAACUCUCUGUAGACAAUCUGCAAAUUGAAGUGGCUUUGACAUGAGACUCAGAAGUUGUGGAUGGAGACAAGGGUGCCAGAAAGAGCCCUGAUGCUGGGAAGCACAGAGCAAAAGCAGGGACCAGCCAGGUUCUACUUCCGCUGGGGGAUGGUCAAAAUCAUUGUUCCUUAGAUCACUAGAAUUUGCAUAAAGCAUCUACAAGUUUUCACAAAGUU